UAAGACGUAGGAGGCGAGCGUUAUCCGGAUUUACUGGGCGUAAAGCGCAUGUAGGCGGUUCGCUAAGUCCGCGGUUAAAGCCCCCGGCUCAACUGGGGGAGGUCCGUGGAGACUAUCGGACUUGAGGGCAACAGAGGCACGUGGAACUCCCGGUGUAGCGGUGGAAUGCGUAGAGAUCGGGAAGAACACCAGUGGCGAAGGCGACGUGCUGGGUUGCAACUGACGCUGAGAUGCGAAAGUGUGGGGAGCAAACGGGAUUAGAUACCCCGGUAGUCCACACUGUAAACGAUGAACCCUGGGUGUGGGGCGGUAAAACGCUCCGUGCCGAAGCCAACGCGUUAAGGGUUCCGCCUGGGGACUAUGAGCGCAAGCUUAAAACUUAAAUGAAUUGACGG
RNAcentral lists this ribosomal RNA (395 nucleotides) under uncultured bacterium. Its description in RNAcentral is "bacterial SSU rRNA". It matches the Rfam family "Bacterial small subunit ribosomal RNA", at positions 521 to 916 of the family's 1533-position model. The record is from RNAcentral.